This is a non-coding RNA of Nematostella vectensis (starlet sea anemone), 73 nucleotides long. NCBI's taxonomy places the organism in Eukaryota, Metazoa, Cnidaria, Anthozoa, Actiniaria, Edwardsiidae. The record is from Rfam.
GCACGGGUGGCCUAGUGUGUUAGGGCGUCGUCCUCUCACCGCUAUGGCCCAGGUUCGAAUCCUGGCCCAAUCU